This is a non-coding RNA of Oncorhynchus mykiss (rainbow trout), 2123 nucleotides long. Lineage: Eukaryota; Metazoa; Chordata; Actinopteri; Salmoniformes; Salmonidae. The record is from RefSeq and is a predicted model, not a curated record.
AGAAGCAAUCAGUUACAAGGCAAGCAUACAGAUUGAGGCCCUCAAUCCAACUGAGGACAGAGAAAUAUGUGUGCACCAGACAUAUCAAGGCUUCUUACAUGCAUGGCUUUGAGAUAUUUCAACAAUACCAGACGAACAAAAGUGUCACAAGAACCACGACAGUCUCCAAUCUCACAGUUCAUGGAGACCCGUUUUAUGGCAGUACAGCAUGAAUAAUCCACAGCAGAAAGCCAUCAACAAUGCAAUACUGUCCAACCUGGUUAUCGAUUGCAACUUGCCUCUGUCUAUUGUGGAAAACAAGCGCUUUCGUCACUUUAGUACAGCCCAGUGUGUCGUAGAACAUUGACAUCAAACGUAGAGAACCUCGCUACAGAGAGACGUUCAAAACUGAAAACUCAGUUGAGCAACACUGACCAUGUUUCAGUCACAGUGUACAUUUGGUCCGGCCGAAAGAUGAGGGGGUUCCUUGGUGUCACUGUGCACUGUAUGGAGAAAGAUGGAGAGAGGAUACAGCUCAAGUCCAAUCUCAUGGCUUGUGACCACUUCAAAGGCCCACACACGGCCAAAAUAAUCUGUGAGCAAUUUGAGGCCAUAUGUGAUGAGUUCAGCAUUAAAGAUAAAUUGGACUAUAUCAUUAGUGACAAUGCUGCCAACAUGAGAAAAGCAUUCACAGUGUGCUUCCCCAUUGAACAAGAAGAAGUACAUGACGAAGAUUGCCUUGAUGACCCAGAGCUCUGGAAUGACCUAACCCUGGAAGACCAGCAAACAGUGGAUGCUGCUAUUGCAAAAAAACAGCACUUUCAAUGUUUUGCCCACACUCUCCAGCUGGUGGUGGGAGACGGCUUGAAAGAAACAAAAGUGAUGACUCCUUCUCUUUCAAAGUUAGCAAAAAUCAGCUCAUACAAGCACAACAUUCAAAGAGGUGUUUGAGGUUGAAUUUGGGGAAAGAGGCAUCCCUCCUGCUGUCAACAAGAUGGAACUCAACACUAAGACAAGUGAAGGCAGUUAUCCAAUGUGACCAUCUAAAGCUCAGUCAUGUUCUAGUAAAGGCUGGGCACAAGGAGUUGUUGUUCACAGUACGGGAGUGUAAUAAGUUGAAGCAGAUGGUGGACAUCCUGAAGCCAUUUGGAGAAGCAACAGAUAUGACACAGGGGGUGAAGAGGGUCACAAUCAGUUUGGUUGUUUCCUCGGUCCUGUCCCUGAAUCACCACCUGGAGCAGCGGAAGCCUCAAGUCCAUUCCCUGAGCGGCCUGGUCAGAAGUCUCCAGGCAUGCCUGAACAAAAGAUUUAUUGGAAUCUUCAUCAAUGUGAAAAUGGCCAGGACACAAGAUGGAAUCACUGCCCCCUUUUCAGAUCCAGCCUACCUCAAAGCACCUGCCUUGGAUCCGGCUUUUUCUCUGAUGUGGGUGGAGCACCAUGUGCUGGUCAAGGAGGUGGCACAAAGAGUGAAAGAACUGAUUCUGCAAGAUGCUACAGGGACUGAGCAAGCUUGGCCUCUUGUUGAUGAGGAAGAGCGAGAGGACCAAAGUCUUGGACAAGUAGAAGCGCUGUUUGCAGCAUACUGUAAGAGGCAGAAGAAAGCUGUCGGGACCUCUCCAGCACUACAGCUAAGUCACUACCUUGACAUAUGCGAAGGACAGAAUGCCCUCUUGUUCUGAGCAAUGAACAGGAAGGCUCUUCCUUCACUGUCCCGAGUGGCCAUCAGGGUCUUGGCAGUGCCGUCCUCCAGUGCUCCGGUGGAGCGUGUCUUCAGCCAUGGUGGCAUCAUACUGCGGCCUGCACAAAUGACUGACAGACUUUUAUCGAAUUUGGUCUUUUGCAAACGCAAUGCAUCAUAGGGCGCUGAGAUAAGAGAAAAAUUGAAACUGUUUAUGCAUUACACACACACGUAGUCUCCAUGUUCAGGUUUUAUCUCCCAUCUUUGGGAUCUGUAUUUUUUCUCAGACAUUCAGGCCAGUGUUCAAAUUGUAGGCCUACUUGAAGUUCAGUGUCAGUUGUUUUGAUGUACCUUUUAAUAAAUGAUUGGCAGGAUUGUUUUAGGUGUCUAGAGUAUAUCUGGAGAGAGAGAGAGCACUACAAUAUUUUUGUGUUGUCAUAUGUCUUUCUCAUGUCUACCCAUGUAU